GGCAUGGAUUAGGCAUGCAAGUCGAACGGGAUUUCAAUUGUAGCAAUAUUUUUGAAGUUCAGUGGCGAAAGGGUGAGGAACACGUGAGUAACUUACCCCUUAGUUGGGAACAACCCCGCGAAAGCGGGGCUAAUACCGAAUGUGGAUAAUUCUUCGCAUGUUGAAUUAUCUAAAGAUUUAUCGCUAAGGGAGAGGCUCGCGUCCCAUUAGCUAGUUGGUGGGGUAAUGGCCUACCAAGGCAUUGAUGGGUAGCUGGUCUGAGAGGAUGGUCAGCCACACUGGGACUGAGACACUGCCCAGACUCCUACGGGAGGCUGCAGUCGAGAAUCUUCCGCAAUGGGCGAAAGCCUGACGGAGCAAUGCYGCGUGAGGGAUGAAGGUCUUCGGAUUGUAAACCUCUGUCACCGGGGAUGAAUAAAUGACAGUACCCGGGGAGGAAGCCACGGCUAACUACGUGCCAGCAGCCGCGGUAAUACGUAGGUGGCGAGCGUUGUUCGGAUUUACUGGGCGUAAAGGGUCCGCAGGGGGCUUUUCAAGUCUGAUGUGAAAUACCGAAGCUUAACUUCGGAAUUGCAUUGGAAACUGCUAGGCUAGAGCAUCGGAGAGGAGAGUGGAAUUCCAGGUGUAGCGGUGGAAUGCGUAGAUAUCUGGAAGAACACCUAAGGCGAAGGCAGCUCUCUGGACGAUUGCUGACCCUCAGGGACGAAAGUAUGGGGAGCAAACAGGAUUAGAUACCCUGGUAGUCCAUACAGUAAACUUUGUGAACUUGACGUGGGGCCCGCCCCGUGUCGUAGCUAACGCGAUAAGUUCACCGCCUGGGGACUACGGCCGCAAGGCUAAACUCAAAGGAAUUGACGGGGGCUCACACAAGCGGUGGAUCCCAAUUCCCGCGG
RNAcentral lists this ribosomal RNA (893 nucleotides) under uncultured bacterium. RNAcentral describes it as "bacterial SSU rRNA". It matches the Rfam family "Bacterial small subunit ribosomal RNA", at positions 41 to 954 of the family's 1533-position model. The record is from RNAcentral.